AGUGAACGCUGGCGGUAGGCCUAACACAUGCAAGUCGAACGGCAGCACAGUAAGAGCUUGCUCUUACGGGUGGCGAGUGGCGGACGGGUGAGGAAUACAUCGGAAUCUACUUUUUCGUGGGGGAUAACGUAGGGAAACUUACGCUAAUACCGCAUACGCCCUACGGGUGAAAGCAGGGGAUCUUCGGACCUUGCGCGAUUGAAUGAGCCGAUGUCGGAUUAGCUAGUUGGCGGGGUAAAGGCCCACCAAGGCGACGAUCCGUAGCUGGUCGGAGAGGAUGAUCAGCCACACUGGAACUGAGACACGGUCCAGACUCCUACGGGAGGCAGCAGUGGGGAAUACUGGACAAUGGGCGCAAGCCUGAUCCAGCCAUACCGCGUGGGUGAAGAAGGCCUUCGGGUUGUAAAGCCCUUUUGUUGGGAAAGAAAAGCAGCAGGUUAAUACCCCGCUGUUCUGACGGUACCCAAAGAAUAAGCACCGGCUAACUUCGUG
This 492-nucleotide ribosomal RNA is filed under the name uncultured bacterium. Its description in RNAcentral is "partial 16S ribosomal RNA". It matches the Rfam family "Bacterial small subunit ribosomal RNA", at positions 29 to 507 of the family's 1533-position model. The record is from RNAcentral.